AUACGUAGGGGGCGAGCGUUGUCCGGAAUGAUUGGGCGUAAAGGGCGCGUAGGCGGCCUGUUAAGUCUGGAGUGAAAGUCCUGUUUUCAAGAUGGGAAUUGCUUUGGAUACUGAUGGGCUUGAGUGCAGGAGAGGUUAUCGGAAUUCCCGGUGUAGCGGUGAAAUGCGUAGAGAUCGGGAGGAACACCAGUGGCGAAGGCGGGUAACUGGACUGCAACUGACGCUGAGGCGCGAAAGUGUGGGGAGCAAACAGGAUUAGAUACCCUGGUAGUCCACGCGGUAAACGAUGAUCACUAGGUGUCCGUGGGUAUGACCCAUGGGUGCCGCAGCCAACGCAAUAAGUGAUCCACCUGGGGAGUACGUUCGCAAGAAUGAAACUCAAAUGAAUUGACGGGG
This 396-nucleotide ribosomal RNA is filed under the name uncultured bacterium. Its description in RNAcentral is "partial 16S ribosomal RNA". It matches the Rfam family "Bacterial small subunit ribosomal RNA", at positions 523 to 918 of the family's 1533-position model. The record is from RNAcentral.